RNAcentral lists this ribosomal RNA (1464 nucleotides) under Staphylococcus aureus. Its description in RNAcentral is "bacterial SSU rRNA". It matches the Rfam family "Bacterial small subunit ribosomal RNA". The record is from RNAcentral. Lineage: Bacteria; Bacillati; Bacillota; Bacilli; Caryophanales; Staphylococcaceae.
UUUAUGGAGAGUUUGAUCCUGGCUCAGGAUGAACGCUGGCGGCGUGCCUAAUACAUGCAAGUCGAGCGAACGGACGAGAAGCUUGCUUCUCUGAUGUUAGCGGCGGACGGGUGAGUAACACGUGGAUAACCUACCUAUAAGACUGGGAUAACUUCGGGAAACCGGAGCUAAUACCGGAUAAUAUUUUGAACCGCAUGGUUCAAAAGUGAAAGACGGUCUUGCUGUCACUUAUAGAUGGAUCCGCGCUGCAUUAGCUAGUUGGUAAGGUAACGGCUUACCAAGGCAACGAUGCAUAGCCGACCUGAGAGGGUGAUCGGCCACACUGGAACUGAGACACGGUCCAGACUCCUACGGGAGGCAGCAGUAGGGAAUCUUCCGCAAUGGGCGAAAGCCUGACGGAGCAACGCCGCGUGAGUGAUGAAGGUCUUCGGAUCGUAAAACUCUGUUAUUAGGGAAGAACAUAUGUGUAAGUAACUGUGCACAUCUUGACGGUACCUAAUCAGAAAGCCACGGCUAACUACGUGCCAGCAGCCGCGGUAAUACGUAGGUGGCAAGCGUUAUCCGGAAUUAUUGGGCGUAAAGCGCGCGUAGGCGGUUUUUUAAGUCUGAUGUGAAAGCCCACGGCUCAACCGUGGAGGGUCAUUGGAAACUGGAAAACUUGAGUGCAGAAGAGGAAAGUGGAAUUCCAUGUGUAGCGGUGAAAUGCGCAGAGAUAUGGAGGAACACCAGUGGCGAAGGCGACUUUCUGGUCUGUAACUGACGCUGAUGUGCGAAAGCGUGGGGAUCAAACAGGAUUAGAUACCCUGGUAGUCCACGCCGUAAACGAUGAGUGCUAAGUGUUAGGGGGUUUCCGCCCCUUAGUGCUGCAGCUAACGCAUUAAGCACUCCGCCUGGGGAGUACGACCGCAAGGUUGAAACUCAAAGGAAUUGACGGGGACCCGCACAAGCGGUGGAGCAUGUGGUUUAAUUCGAAGCAACGCGAAGAACCUUACCAAAUCUUGACAUCCUUUGACAACUCUAGAGAUAGAGCCUUCCCCUUCGGGGGACAAAGUGACAGGUGGUGCAUGGUUGUCGUCAGCUCGUGUCGUGAGAUGUUGGGUUAAGUCCCGCAACGAGCGCAACCCUUAAGCUUAGUUGCCAUCAUUAAGUUGGGCACUCUAAGUUGACUGCCGGUGACAAACCGGAGGAAGGUGGGGAUGACGUCAAAUCAUCAUGCCCCUUAUGAUUUGGGCUACACACGUGCUACAAUGGACAAUACAAAGGGCAGCGAAACCGCGAGGUCAAGCAAAUCCCAUAAAGUUGUUCUCAGUUCGGAUUGUAGUCUGCAACUCGACUACAUGAAGCUGGAAUCGCUAGUAAUCGUAGAUCAGCAUGCUACGGUGAAUACGUUCCCGGGUCUUGUACACACCGCCCGUCACACCACGAGAGUUUGUAACACCCGAAGCCGGUGGAGUAACCUUUUAG